AAUGUUAAAGUUCUUAUUUCAUGGUAUAACUUUGGUAUGCUUGGACCUAGAGUCUUCAAACUUGACAUGAAGGUUGGCCAGGAUUAACAGAUGACCACUGGUCAUUUCAAGGUCAUUCAUUUGAAGGUCAAGGUCACUGUGACCUUCAAUAUAAAAAUGUUAAAGUUGUUAUAACUUUGGUAUGCUUGGACCUAGAGUCUUGAAACUUGACAUGAAGGUUGGCCAGAACUAGUAAGUAACCACUGGACAUUUCAAGGUCAUUCAUUUGAAGGUCAAGGUCACUGUGACCUUGAAUGUAAAAAUGUUAAAGUUGUUAUAACUUUGGUAUGCUUGGACCUAGAGUCUUGAAACUUGACAUGAAGGUUGGCCAGAACUAGUAAGUAACCACUGGAAAUUUCAAGGUCAUUCAUUUGAAGGUCAAGGUCACUGUGACCUUGAAUGUAAAAAUGUUAAAGUUCUUAUUUCAUGUUAUAACUUUGGUAUGCUUGUACCUAGAGUCUUCAAACUUGAAAUAAAGAUUGGCCAGUACUAGAAGAUGACCACUGGUCAUUUCAAUGUCAUUCAUUUGAAGGUCAAGGUCACUGUGACCUUAAAUGUUAAAAUGUUAAAAUUGUUAUAACUUUGGUAUGCUUGGACAUAGAGUCUUCAAACUUGACAUGAAGGUUUGCAAGCACACUUAGAUGACCACUGGUCAUUUCAAGGUCAUUCAUUCUCAUGUAUAUGCAUGCAUUCAAAACAUAACACAAGGUUUGCUCAUGCCUUGAAAAGUACUUACAUUUCAUUUUGACCUUUGAACAAUAUUUCAGUAAUUUAAGUAUUGCAUUGACAAAAACACGAAAGGUACUUUCCUGUCAUUUAAAUAAAAAAUCCGGCUUCAAUGCGGUCAUCUCCGACCGCGGAACUCUUGUUGUUUUGUAAAAACGUCACAAAAGCAAUCCAACACUAAUUGAAUGUUAUUCAAGACCUAACACUGUAUUAAAUUUACUAAAUAGAUGACAUUAUGAAAUACUUGUUUAUUUUGUUGAAGGUCAUGUCCAUUCACAGAACAAAGUUGUGUAAAUUAUUGAAACAGAGCUAGUAAGUAACCUACCAAUGCUAAGUAUGAUAGGUCAUAGAACAGACGAACACUUUGAAUAUACUGUAUCAAAUCAAAGUAUAUUAGUCUUUAUUGGAUUGCCAUUUCUCAACAAGAAAACACUUUAUACUUAUUAUUUUGGAAAUGAUAAAAUUCUUACAACCCCACUGAGAUUUUGCUUUUGUCAAAUGGCUUAGUUUUAAGAUGGUGCUGGGAACUGUCAUGUUUUGGUUAUGUCACAUGCCAGUAUUAUGUUAUCAAAGCCUGUGUGUGUUUUCUUUAACAGCAAUCUGUGUCAUCAUACCUUAUUGCAUGUUUGUUUCAAUUCCAUUAUUCACCAUGAAUGACUUACAUGUCCUGGAUAUGUCACACAUUCGCUCAUUUUGUUGAAGACCUUAAUAUCGGGCAAUAUAUGUUAAGAUUAUUUGUGGAAGUUGAGAUCACUUGUACCAGGAUUUCAAUCGAUUUUUAAACAUUUCCAGGCAUUAUUAUAUGCGUGUCAGAGUUAAUUUUGUUUCCACAUAUUUAAAAUACUUUGCAAUUGUAGCUUUUGUUAAAAUAAUUGUUAAGAACUUGGUAAAGUAACAGAAAACUAUGUUCAUGCACUUGAAGUUAAAGUCCGGUUCACAAAUGCUUCAAGAUAAUGCUUGGUAGAUAAUUCACUAGAGUGAUAAAUGAGUGAAUUACAAUUUGAUUGUUUUAAAGACAGGCUUUAGAGUCGAUCAAAUCACUGAUAGAAAUUAAGAUUUAUUCUUUUAGAUUUAUUUUGUUCCCCACCACUAUAGUGGGGGAUAUAUUGUUUUUUUCCUGUCUGUUGGUUUGUUGCUUUGUUUGUUUGGUCAAACUUUAACAUUUGCCAUAACUUUUGUGAAGAUAUCAAUUUUAUAUUUGGCAUGCAUGUGUAUCUCAUGGAGUUGCACAUUUUGAGUGGUGAAUGGUCAAGGUCAAGGUUAUCCUUCAAGGUCAAAGGUCAAAUAUAUGGGUCAAAAUCGCUCAUUUAAUGUACACUUUUGCAAUAUUGAAGAUAUCAACUUGAUAUUUGGCAUGCAUGUGUAUCACAUGGAGCUGCACAUUUUGAGUGGCAAAAGGUCAAGGUUAUCCUUCAAGCUCAAAUAUAUGGGGACAUAGCAUUUCAUAAAACAUCUUGUUUUAAAUAUGUUAGUAUCUGUUUCAAUGACAUUUUAGAAAUAUUGGGCACAGUUCAGACCCAAAGUAAAAAAUAUUGAUUGUUUUCCCUCGCACCACCCAUGAAAUGGCUGCGUGGGUUGGUAGCUCGAAAAUGUUUUUAAAAUAAUGUGUAAGAAUAUUUAGGUUAUUUUGUUUUAUUCUGUCAGCAAAGUCAGUGUAUUUUUCCCUCAUCAGACUUUCAGUUUAUUGGUAAGUCUAUUUAGUUCUCAGCAAAUUGGCUGGGUGUUUCAUUUUUUACAUCAUAAUGUUUUGUGUGAUAACCACUUAUUUUCUUGGGCAAAUUUUGCCUUUGUAUCAAUAUUGUUUGAAAACAUCUACAUUCACAAGUUUUAUUGUAGAAAUAUUUGUUUGUAUCACAUUUUUCAUUAUCUUAUCAUGUUACAAUCAUUUGUGUGGUGCUUGUUUAUAUACUUUAUUUACAUACAUGUCAUAACUGGUGUGAUGAUAUACAUGUAUUCCGUCCAUAUUUAUAAAAUCCUGAAGUCACCUAUGCAGUUUUAUUUAUGAUAGUAACUUGCCUUGCAAAUUAAGAUGAUAUUUGUGAGAGGGGAAUGGUUAAGAUUUGAUGUUAAUAUUUAAAGAGUAAAUGUUCUCAACAGGCACUGACCCGUGACUUCUCAUCAUUUCUUGAACUCAACCAGCUUAGCCCUUUUCCCCUCAGAUGCACAUUUUAACAUAUUUUUAUUCCCUUAGAAAAUCAAAUUAAAUUAAGCACCUUUCUUUCUAGAUUGAAGUUUUAAAUACUUCAUUUCCAACCCUAAGAUACUGAUGAGUAGCAAACAGCAUAAAACCUGAACAGACUGCGAAUUGUGCAGGUUGUUCUGGUCAUAUGUGUGUUGCUUAUAGCCAUUUUCACCUUGUUUCUGAGUGGAAAAGAGUUGAGUCUCUUAUUUCAUCAGUCAAAAUUAUCACUAAAAAUUGUUUUAACACCAUGUAUUAUUUAUUUUGGGUAUUUUACAAGCAGUUUUGGUAUUUAACACAUAGUUUUUCUUUAAAACAUAAAAUCUGAAUUGCGUAAACUUACGCUUAUCUUGCAAAACAGAAGCUCUUAAAAGCUUUUGAGAGAAAGAGGUAUGUUAAAAAAUAUUAAACUCCUUAACUUUCUUAGUGCAUCUUUGCCAGAAUUGCUAUGUAUAUUUUGUUUUAAUAGUUAAUUUCUGGCAGUCCAGUAAGUUAUAUUUGACUACUUUUCUGUUUCUUCUGUUUCUUGGUGAUGCCCCAAAAACUUGCAACCACAUGCGGGUGUUAUCUACAUAUGUACUGUGUCAUGUGUAGAUAUUUUGUUGGUGCUUCUUUGUGUUUCACUAAAUUUUGCUUUAAAUCACUAAAUUUAUUUGUCGACUUGUGAUGGGUAGAGAUCCGUUAUUUCUGUAAGAUGAUGGGGUCUUUAUGUAUCAUUUUAAAGUGUUAGCCCAAUAGUUUAGCUCACAUUACCAUGAAGUGCUCAAAGUGGACUUUUGUAAUCACAGAAGUCUGGCAGUAUACAUUGUCAACUUUAGGCUCAUCAGCACUCAUUAAACUUGGUCAGAUUAGUAAUUUGGACACUAUAUAUGCCAAGUUCUUAUUUGGGUCAUUUGCGUCAAAAACUAGGACACCUGGUCAAAUCUUAUGCAAACCAUGUUAUCUCUCUAGAGGUCACAUUAAUGAUUUAAAUUCUGAUGAAACUUUGAGAGAAUGUAUAUCUUUACAAUAAGUAGGCUGAGUUUGAUUUUAAUCUGGGUGAAGUACAUAAAAAAAAAUCACCAGGUCAAAUCCUUUUUAAGAAAACUUGUGACCACUCCUAAAAAAAAUUAAUGACUAAAUUUUGAUGAAAUUUGGUUAUUAUGUUAAUCUUUGAUUUUAUUGCCCCAGAAUCUGGUCAUGUGCAAAAUAUUUGGUUACAAGGUCAAAUCUUAGAAACCCUUGUUACCACUCUAGAGGCCACAUUUAUGAUUAAUCUUGAUGAAACUUGGUCAAAAUAUCUCUCUGGACAAUAUUUAGUUCGACUUCAAUUCUAGGUCACUUGUGUUCAAAAGUAGGUCACAAGGCCAUAUUUUAUAAACAAACUCACUUUUUAAUUAAUUUUGUGGAAUUUUUUGUCAUGAUAAUAUCUAGGUCGAGUUUGAAUCCCAGUAAUGUGCUUCCAAAGACUUGGUCAUCAGGUCCAAUCUUAAAAAACCUUAUAUUACUCUUUAGACAACAUUUAUGACUCUUUCUUGAUUAAACUUGUCAGAAUUUUUCUCUGGACAAUAUCUAGGCCAAGUUAUAAUCUUGGUCACGUGCAUCUAGAUAUAAGGUCACCAGGUUGAAUCUUAAAAAAAAAUCUUACCACUAUAGAGGCAACAUUUAUGACUUAUACUUGAUGAAACAUGGUCAGAUUGUUUAAUUUUGACAAUAUCUAGGCAAAAUUGAAUCUGGGUGAGUUGUAUCCAGAAAGAAGGUCACCAAAGAUUCUUACCAUUCUUGGGACAAUAUUGCCUCAGUCUUAAUCAAACUUGGUCAGAAUGUUUAUCAUGACAAUAUGAAGCCCAUUUUUUUAAUCUGGGCGAAAAAUAUCACCGUGUCUAGUCUUUGACAAUUGGUGUCUAUGAACUCAUAUGAGUGCGUAAAGGCCUUUGUGGCCAACUUGUAGUUUUUUUGUAUUGUGAAGAAAGUGAAGUAUUACCACUUUUAAUUUUAACACGUGUUUGUCAUUGUUAUGAAUGUACAUACAUUUUAGUGCUUGCAGCAAGUAAAUGUGAUAGUUUGUAAAUUUUGAUGAAUAUUUCUUGUACUGAAUUUGUUUUUGAGAUGUAUUAUAUCUGUUAUGAGUAAUAAAAGUAGAAACACA
Dreissena polymorpha is the source of this 5072-nucleotide long non-coding RNA. RefSeq lists it as uncharacterized. The record is from RefSeq and is a predicted model, not a curated record. The transcript has 2 exons. NCBI's taxonomy places the organism in Eukaryota, Metazoa, Mollusca, Bivalvia, Myida, Dreissenidae.